Molecule: long non-coding RNA, 398 nt
Organism: Actinia tenebrosa (Australian red waratah sea anemone)
Lineage: Eukaryota; Metazoa; Cnidaria; Anthozoa; Actiniaria; Actiniidae
Source: RefSeq, a predicted model, not a curated record
UACGCGAAGUGAGGUCAAUGGACGCAAAAAUGUAGGUUCAAUGGUAGUGAGAAGGUUGCUGCUAAGAUCUCUGCACGAAAAUUCAAAACAUCGCAACAGGCAUCCAAAUUAAGGAUAACUUUCAUCCAAAAUGAUCACAGUUACUCACAAAGUCGAUAGUUGGUUGGUUGAUGGAAAAGCCUCCGAAGGAAGAGAUCUUAAGAAGUUCUUAUUCAUCCUCCUGUUAACAAAGUGAAAAGAAACUCGUCUAAGAUGCAGCAACUUGUUUCUUAUGUUUUAAAUGGACUUACAGGAGCUUCGUUUCUUUGGGUAUAUCAGAAGGUCUUGAGUUGUAAAGCAGCUUAAAUCCUUGUCUCUCCACGUUGCUGUCACUUUUAAACACGACAAUCAUGACGUUC